RNAcentral lists this ribosomal RNA (794 nucleotides) under uncultured bacterium. RNAcentral describes it as "bacterial SSU rRNA". It matches the Rfam family "Bacterial small subunit ribosomal RNA", at positions 8 to 796 of the family's 1533-position model. The record is from RNAcentral.
AGAGUUUGAUCAUGGCUCAGGAUGAACGCUAGCGGCAGGCUUAAUACAUGCAAGUCGAGGGGCAGCAGGGUGUAGCAAUACAUCGCUGGCGACCGGCAAACGGGUGCGGAACACGUACGCAACCUUCCUUCAAGUGGGGGAAUAGCCCAGGGAAACUUGGAUUAAUACCUCGUAACAUUAUGAAAUGGCAUCAUUUUGUAAUUAUAGUUCCGACGCUUGAAGAUGGGCGUGCGCCUGAUUAGGUAGUUGGCGGGGUAACGGCCCACCAAGCCUUCGAUCAGUAACUGGUGUGAGAGCACGACCAGUCACACGGGCACUGAGACACGGGCCCGACUCCUACGGGAGGCAGCAGUAAGGAAUAUUGGUCAAUGGACGCAAGUCUGAACCAGCCAUGCCGCGUGGAGGAUGAAGGUCCUCUGGAUUGUAAACUUCUUUUAUCUGGGAAGAAACCCAUAUUUUCUAAUGUGGUUGACGGUACCAGAUGAAUAAGCACCGGCUAACUCCGUGCCAGCAGCCGCGGUAAUACGGAGGGUGCAAGCGUUAUCCGGAUUCACUGGGUUUAAAGGGUGCGUAGGUGGGUUGGUAAGUCCGUGGUGAAAUCCCCAAGCUUAACUUGGGAACUGCCGUGGAUACUAUUAAUCUUGAAUAUCGUGGAGGUAAGCGGAAUAUCAUGUAGCGGUGAAAUGCUUAGAUAUGACAUAGAACACCAAUUGCGUAGGCAGCUUACUACACGAUCAUUGACACUGAGGCACGAAAGCGUGGGGAGCAAACAGGAUUAGAUACCCUAGUAGUCC